AAGGACUGCAGAGCACCAGACAAGCAAAUCUCCUGGUUGACAUGCAGCAAUUGUGGGGCAUGACUUUCGCAAAUCCUCAGGGGUGCGGUGAUCUAUGGAAAUUCAUCUGUGAAGUUUGUCUUUCUUAACUUUGCUGGGUGUUGGGUCUCGAAGGAGCCUCAGCCUGUCUGGUAUGCACCAAAGUCUCUAAAACAAUACACAGAGGGGCAUCCCUGGCGGAUUUGAAGCUUGCCUCCAGCAGAGAGAUGUGCCUCUAACAGGCUCACAUCCUCCUCCAGGGGCCCAGUGCCCUCAGGUCCCUCCAGCUCCACAAGCUUCACCUCCAGUAGGCGGACCAGAGUGGUCAUGACUGCCAGCCUGAGCCCGGCGGCCUCCACUGCGCACAUGCCAGCACAUGCCAGGAUCGGUCAGUCAUGUGCUGAGCAUGGGCUUGAGGAUGUCAUGCCCUGCUUUUAUGAGGACUGUAGUCUCCAUCUUUGGCGUGGCCGCUGCUAAGCAGGCUUGCAGCAACCUCAAGAGCUUCAGAUGACAAGCAAUCAAAGGCAUGAAGAGCAUGCAGCUAACCUGCACUGAAUGGCUGACAUACCAUUGGACAUAGAAGGCGCAGGACCCUGACUUCCAGGCUGCUCAGCUGCCUCUAGCUCCUGCAGAAGCUGCGGUGGCUCCAUGACAAGCACCUCCAGAGUCUCCCAUGCAGCUGGAGGCAGCAGCCUCUGCAGCCUGUCACCAGCAUUCCCUUUCUGGCCCU
Molecule: long non-coding RNA, 748 nt
Filed under: Coccomyxa subellipsoidea
Lineage: Eukaryota; Viridiplantae; Chlorophyta; Trebouxiophyceae; Coccomyxaceae
Description: long non-coding RNA (CSUB_LNC000665)
Source: RNAcentral